GAUGAACGCUGGCGGCGUGCCUAAUACAUGCAAGUCGAGCGAACAGACGAGGAGCUUGCUCCUUUGACGUUAGCGGCGGACGGGUGAGUAACACGCGGAUAACCUACCUAUAAGACUGGGAUAACUUCGGGAAACCGGAGCUAAUACCGGAUAACAUGUUGAGCCGCAUGGUUCAACAGUGAAAGACGGUCUUGCUGUCACUUAUAGAUGGAUCCGCGCCGCAUUAGCUAGUUGGUAAGGUAACGGCUUACCAAGGCAACGAUGCGUAGCCGACCUGAGAGGGUGAUCGGCCACACUGGAACUGAGACACGGUCCAGACUCCUACGGGAGGCAGCAGUAGGGAAUCUUCCGCAAUGGGCGAAAGCCUGACGGAGCAACGCCGCGUGAGUGAAGAAGGUCUUCGGAUCGUAAAACUCUGUUAUUAGGGAAGAACAAAUGUGUAAGUAACUAUGCACGUCUUGACGGUACCUAAUCAGAAAGCCACGGCUAACUACGUG
Molecule: ribosomal RNA, 497 nt
Filed under: uncultured bacterium
Lineage: Bacteria
Description: partial 16S ribosomal RNA
Rfam family: Bacterial small subunit ribosomal RNA
Source: RNAcentral